This 266-nucleotide ribosomal RNA is filed under the name uncultured Staphylococcus sp. RNAcentral describes it as "partial 16S ribosomal RNA". It matches the Rfam family "Bacterial small subunit ribosomal RNA", at positions 96 to 355 of the family's 1533-position model. Lineage: Bacteria; Bacillati; Bacillota; Bacilli; Caryophanales; Staphylococcaceae. The record is from RNAcentral.
CGGCGGACGGGUGAGUAACACGUGGAUAACCUACCUAUAAGACUGGGAUAACUUCGGGAAACCGGAGCUAAUACCGGAUAAUAUAUUGAACCGCAUGGUUCAAUAGUGAAAGACGGUUUUGCUGUCACUUAUAGAUGGAUCCGCGCCGCAUUAGCUAGUUGGUAAGGUAACGGCUUACCAAGGCAACGAUGCGUAGCCGACCUGAGAGGGUGAUCGGCCACACUGGAACUGGGACACGGUCCAGACUCCUACGGGAGGCAGCAGUC